AUGUGCUGUGAGCUCGAUGAGUAGGGCGGGACACGUGGUAUCCUGUCUGAAUAUGGGGGGACCAUCCUCCAAGGCUAAAUACUCCUGACUGACCGAUAGUGAACCAGUACCGUGAGGGAAAGGCGAAAAGAACCCCGGCGAGGGGAGUGAAAAAGAACCUGAAACCGUGUACGUACAAGCAGUGGGAGCCCCACCACUAAGCCAGUGGUGAACUCCACAUACGCAUCCUUUGCUGAGGAUACGGUUAACGGAGCGAAAGCGACGUUCAACCGCAAAAGAAGCAGAGGGGGCUUAGUGGUGGGGUGACUGCGUACCUUUUGUAUAAUGGGUCAGCGACUUAUAUUCUGUAGCAAGGUUAACCGAAUAGGGGAGCCGGAGGGAAACCGAGUCUUAACCGGGCGUUAAGUUGCAGGGUAUAGACCCGAAACCCGGUGAUCUAGCCAUGGGCAGGUUGAAGGUUGGGUAACACUAACUGGAGGACCGAACCGACUAAUGUUGAAAAAUUAGCGGAUGACCUGUGGCUGGGGGUGAAAGGCCAAUCAAACCGGGAGAUAGCUGGUUCUCCCCGAAAGCUAUUUAGGUAGCGCCUCGUGAAUUCAUCUCCGGGGGUAGAGCACUGUUUCGGCUAGGGGGCCAUCCCGGCUUACCAACCCGAUGCAAACUGCGAAUACCGGAGAAUGUUAUCACGGGAGACACACGGCGGGUGCUAACGUCCG
This 716-nucleotide ribosomal RNA is filed under the name Salmonella enterica subsp. enterica serovar Dublin. Its description in RNAcentral is "partial 23S ribosomal RNA". It matches the Rfam family "Bacterial large subunit ribosomal RNA", at positions 392 to 1007 of the family's 2925-position model. The record is from RNAcentral. Lineage: Bacteria; Pseudomonadati; Pseudomonadota; Gammaproteobacteria; Enterobacterales; Enterobacteriaceae.